Long non-coding RNA from Eurytemora carolleeae, 153 nucleotides. RefSeq lists it as uncharacterized. The record is from RefSeq and is a predicted model, not a curated record. The transcript is spliced from 2 exons. Lineage: Eukaryota; Metazoa; Arthropoda; Copepoda; Calanoida; Temoridae.
ACCCUUUAACAAACUCACUCAUGAAUUUUAGAAUGCACCCAGUGUGGAAAAUGGGGAACUGAAAACCAAACCAAAUAUAAAGAUAUCCGGAAACCUGAUUACAAUUGACCGGAAACAGGUUGAUUGGUCCGAUGAUGAAGAAGAAGCAGAUGC